ACCUGCAGCCCUUUUAAGUAAAACUUGUGAUAUCAAAAGCCUGAGAGUAUCUCCUCUCAUACACAAUUCAUCCAACACAUGGAGAGCAAAGAUCAGAAGAAACUUCACAUAGCCAUGUUCCCAUGGCUAGCCUACGGCCACCUAAUGUCAUUUCUGGAGGUCUCCAAGUUCUUAGCUCAAAAGGGUCACCAAAUCUCCUUCAUCUCCACCCCC
This is a non-coding RNA of Malus domestica (apple), 213 nucleotides long. NCBI's taxonomy places the organism in Eukaryota, Viridiplantae, Streptophyta, Magnoliopsida, Rosales, Rosaceae. The record is from RefSeq and is a predicted model, not a curated record.